This 5832-nucleotide long non-coding RNA is filed under the name Gossypium barbadense (sea-island cotton). RNAcentral describes it as "long non-coding RNA (GBAR_LNC020432)". Lineage: Eukaryota; Viridiplantae; Streptophyta; Magnoliopsida; Malvales; Malvaceae. The record is from RNAcentral.
UCAGCCAUCAGCUCUUGGUCUUUGAUACCAUCAAAAUUUUAAUUGGCUCCAUUAAAAUAAAUAAAUAAAUUUGAGAGGAUUUGGGUUGGGUACUAUGCUAGCAGCAUGUAUAAAAAACGUAUUCAUUCUUUAAUCGACUGAUUAUGAUUAUUUAUGAGAAAUUUAGCAUUAUUACUAUUCAUAUUGUAUAAUGCAAUCAACCUAGGGUGGUGGUUGUUUUUUUUUGGUUACAUGUAUGAUGCAAUCAAGGAACCCCUGUUGAAGCUAAACUUAGCUUGUCAUUUCUUUUCUUUAUUCAAUUUCCCCUAUUUUCUUAAGAAUUUCUUCCAAUUCUCUAAGUUGUCCUCCAUCACAAAGUAAACCCAAGUUCCAUUGUCACGAGCGUCAAUUAAUUAGAAGGUUCACUAAGAUGCAUAAUAUUUUAUUAUUUUAACUAUACAUGCAUUCAUUCGUGCGUGCUUGAGUGAAUCAUUUACCAACUUUGCAAACAAACAUAAGCAUGAACCAAGCCUGUUGCUGCCGAUGCAAUUUUACUAAUCAUUUGUUUUUGAAUGAAUGAUAAAGGGACCCUUGAAGAGUUAUUAGAAGUCAUUUCUUGUGCCUAGCUUGGAGUCCAGGACAAACCUGUAAAACCAUUUCAUAUCUCGUCAUGAUCGGGAAAAAAGAAAGAAAGAUCCAAAUCCCAUUGAAAAUGAUGCACCAAGAAGAGAAAAUGGAGAGCAUUAUGAUCCUAUGAAGCAUUUCUUACCCAAUCCUCUAGCUUUGACCUUGAUUUCAGAUCAAACACCUUUGUUGUCUCAAGAUAUGACCACAAUUGACUUUUUCUGGUAUUUAAUGACCCUUCUAAAUAUUGCACUAAAAAAAAGCGUAAGACAUUUUGUACCCAAGAAACCAAUUGCAGGGAGUAUGACCAGAGCCUCGUGCCAUCGUUGAUGAAAACAAGUACAUUUAUUGGUCUCAUUCAAGAUUUCAUCGAAAUCUCUGUUUGAUUAUUUUAAGAAGGUUAAAAAUUAAUACUUUCUAUUUUGCUUUUAGAAUUUCUUUGGAAAAAAUUCAUUUCAAUUUAUGUUUAUUUGCUUUAAAAAUUUUGCCAAUAUCUAAAAAGAAUUUAUUAAUAUUUAAAAAUUAAAAUAUUUUUUGUUAAUUUUAUAUUUUCAAUAAAAAUGUACUUUUCAUAUUAUUUAAUAUUUGAAUGAAAAUUUUUCAAACACCAUAUUUAUUAAAAGUAAUUAUGAUUAAUGUUAUAUCAUAAUUAAAAGCGUAAAAAUGUUAAUAUAAAUUAGCUUGGCUCUUUUUAUUUAAGUUCAUAUAUUAAUAUGUAAUAAAUAUUAAUUAUAUUGUUUGAAUGAUAAAUUGUAUACCUAAAUACAUUUUAAAAUGGCCUUAUUCAUGGUUUUAACAUGGAUAUCAAUUUAAUUUUAUAUGGAUUAAUAUUAAAAAUGAUAUAAAUUAAAGUAUACUUUCACUUAGAGGUGUUAUGGGUUAGGUUGAACUUAAGUAAAAUAUUAAACCAUUUUAGGCCUGCUUAUAUCAAUUUUUAACAUAUUUGUUAUUUUUAAUUUAAUAUUUAAUAACCUUAAAUGCUUUUUUCAUUUCUUAAAAUUAUAUAUAGAUAAUUUAACAAUUUUUAUAGUAUGCUUUCAUUAUAAUAUUGUUAAUUACUAUAGAUUUAAAUUUUAUAAUUUAAAAAUUAUUUAAUAUAUAAAAAUAACAUAAAAUAAUAUAAUAUAUAUAGAGAGAGAAAAGUAUCAAGCCGAACUCAAGUCUAUGUUGAACUUAGAGUUCAAAUUUUUCUAACAAAAUUUAAUAUUUUUAUCUAAAUCGGGAUUCUAUAAACAGCUGCUGAAGACAGAUGAUACAUUAGAUGCCCCUAGGCAGCCUUAAUUUCUUUACCUACCUUAUUUUCUAAUAUCUUGAGUUAGAAAUGUUCUUUAUCAUAUGGUUUACGUGUAGGAAAAAGAAUAACAUACGCUGUCAUGCGUACAAACGUCUAGCCCCAUGAUCCUACAAAUUCUUUUUUAAUCUACAACCCAAAACCUUAAACUUUAAAAUCCUAAAAUCCCAAACCCUUAACCCCCUAACUAGAGGUGCUCAUGGGUUGGGCGGCCCGGCCCGGCCUGACGGCCCGCCCGAAAUAUGGGAGAGUUUGGGUAAAAAUACAGGCCCGAAAUAUGGGCUUGGACAAAAAAUGAGGCCCGAUUAAAAAACGAGCCGGGCCUCAAGCACCACUUUUUUGACCCGGGCUCAGCCUGGCCCGAAUAUAAUAAAUAUUUUUAUUUUUUUAAUUUUAAAAUACUUUUUUUAAAUUUUUUUAAUUUUAAAAUUUUUUUAAAAUACUUUUUUAAUUUUAAAAUAUUUUUAAAAUACUUUUUUUAAAUUUUUAAAAUAAUUUUUGGUAUUUAUUUAAAAAACGGGUCAAGCCGGGCCGGGCCUGGGCAAAAUUCUAGGCCCAUAUUUCAGGCCAGGCCGAGCCUAGGACCCGGGCCAAAAAAUUUUUCUGGGCCCAGCCCGACCCGGCCCAUGAGCACCUCUAUCCCCAACCCCUAAACCCUAACCCUUAAACUACAACUCAUGAAUCUUAACUCCCAAAACCCCAAACUCCUAAACCUAUAAAUCUUUAAACCCUAAAUCUUAAACACUAAACCCUGCUAAGCAAAAACAAGAAAAGAUUUUCUACACUUACACGAUUGAGAACGAUUUUCCACACUUUGGGAACCGAAGCUUUGACGCUCACCAAACCCUAAACUCGCUCUGAUUGAACCAUUCAUUCUUGGUUUGCAUUGCAAUAUGCAUAUACAGGAAGAGAAAAAUUAGAUACCUAUCUCACGAAAGUACACAAGAAACAAACAAAAAGAACAAACAGAAUGAGAUCCAUAGAUUUGAAACACGGAAAGAAACAGAAUGAAACUAGUGUCAUAUUAUUUGGAAAAGGAACGAUAAUGACAAAAAUAUAUAAACCGAAACCUAAGCGUAACUCAAGCCCAAAAUAACCUUACCCCAAAUGAUGAACUAAACCCUAAAACCCUAAAACCUUAAACCCUAAACCCUAAACUCUAUACCGGCCUAUUCUAAAAAGCGUCUAUUUUCUAUUAAAUUCACGUUCAUUGCAAUGUUUUUUUUUUCAUGAUUAUCAUAUGAAUAUUUUUUUUAAAAAUUAAUAGGUUACUUAAACAAAUUUAACAAAAAUUUUAGUAGUGUUACCAAUUGGAGUUGAAUUUUUAAAUUUAAAAAAUAGAGAAACUAAAUUCUUAAAAAUAAAAGGCUUAUAUGUAAAGAAAAUCAUUAAGAAAAUACAAAAAAUUAAUUAACCCUUAUAUUAAAUUCGCACUUAAUUAAACUUUACAUUAACGGUUUUCGUCACUAACUACAUUGAUAGUAAAAUAAAUCAAUGUACCAAUUAGAUGAUAUGUGGUGAUUUUUGGUUUAAUCUAAUACUUUUUUUAUAAAAAUAUUAGAAAAAUUAUAAAAAUAAAAAUAUUAAUAUUAAAAAUGAUAUAAACUUAAAAAAAUUAUAAAAACUUAUAAAUAUUAUAAAAAUCUAAUAAAUUAUAAAAUUAACAAAGAAAGCAACUAGAAUGAAACAUGUGGCAAAACAACAUACAAGAGCAAGUAAAUGUUAGCUAGCAGGUCUAUUAUUUAAUUCAGAAGCGUCCCCUUCUAAGUCGAGCCCAUGCUAUUGCCGCAACUGCAGCACCUCCCAAGUGUUGAAAUGUUUAAAAUUUUAACUAAUAUUUUUAUUAAAAAUAAAAAUUUCAUUUUUUUAAAAAUUGAACAAAAUUUAACUAAUGAAUCCCAAAACACUUCCCCGAGGCCCAUAAUGAUUUCAUUAACCAACCUUAAUAAAAACCACUGAACAUAUUAGCAAAAAGAAGCAUAUGUCAACUAAAAACAGAGAGGAAUAGCAUUCUGCUAAGCAAAAAUUACAAAAAUAUUAUACAGAUAUUUGGAAAAUGAACUAUAAUGACAAAAAUAUAAAUGAAAAGCCGAAAUCUAAGCGUGAUUUAGGCCCAAAAAAACCAAACCCCUAAAUUAUUCUACUAAGCAAAAACAAGAAAAGAAAAAUAUAUCAACUAAAAACAGAGAGGAAAAUUAUUCAGCGGAUAUUACAAAAAAUAUUCUGCUAGGCAAGAACAAGAAAAUAUUUUCUACACUUAGAGGAUUGACGACAAUUUUCCACACUUUAGGAGCCAAAGCGACGGCGCAUUUGACGCUCACUAAACCCGAAACUCGCUACAGGAAGAGAAAAAUUAGGUAUCUAUCUCACGAAAGAACACAGGAAACAAACAAAAAGAACAAACAGAAUGAGAUCCAUAUAUUUCAAACACGGAAAGAAACAAAAUGGAACUAAUGUCAUGUUAUUUGGAAAAGAAACUAUAAUGACAAAAAUAUAAAUGAUAAGCCGAAAUCUAAGCGUGACUCAGGCCCAAAAAAACCUUACCCCAAAAUUAUUCUGCUAAGCAAAAACAAGAAAAGGUUUUCUACACUUACACGAUUGAGGCGAUUUUCUACACUUAGGGAGCCGAUGCGACGGCGCGUUUAACGCUCACCAAACCCGAAACUCGAUCUGAUUUGAACCGUUCGCUCUUGGUUUACAUCGCAGUAUGCAUAUACAGGAAGAGAUCAAUAAAACAACCAGAAUGAAAUCAAUAGAUUUGAAACACAUAAAGAAACAGUGAUGUCUAAACCUGAAAACUAAUAAUCAUAAAGUAAACCAACUGAAAUAGAAGUAAAAAAAACAUAGUUCUAAAACUAAAAAUAGAAAUGAAAAGGCAAAAGACAAAGAGAAAUACAAAAAUGAAAACGUAAACACAAGUAAAGAUUCAUACCUGAAAUCAGUCACCGACAAAGCAACCAAAAAGAAACAGACACCCACAACAAUAGAUUUCAAACACAAAGCGAAAACAGGGGAUUUCAAUAUCACCAAAAAAGAAAGAAAGAAACGGCAGACAAAUCUUUGGGUUUCACCCUCUCACGAAAAAGAACGAGGGGAAAUAUUGAAAUAAGACAGAGAGAGAGAGAGAGAGAGAGAUAAUGGGAAGGAAGCGGGAUAUGAAAAGUCUGAAGAAAACGGGUAGCUUUCUCCUAACCGUCACUGCCCAAAAAGAAUAAACUUUCUAAUUCCCCAUGUGACAACGGUAACAUUUAUGGUAAUUAAUACCUUAAUUAAAUUACUAAUUUUAUGGGGGGGGAAUUAAAGACAUAGAAGGUAAAGAGACGUUAGGGAAAAGGAGGGGGCAAUGGGAGAUAAUAAAUGAGAAAUAAAUAUGAAAAAUGCUUUCAUUCCCAAUUAACAGACAGAGAAGUAAAAGAAACGUUAGAAAAAAAAAAGAGAAAGGAAAGAAGAGACUUUACUUGGUCAGGCCAAAGACUACAAACCUGAACCAACAACGCCCCAAACCCACACAGUUUAACACACCACACUCCAAAACAGAUAAUGGCAAAGAUUCAAAUGAUCGACCCGUAAUUCCAAACUAAAAGUUGUGUAAAAACGAUAAUGGCAAAGAUUCAAAUGAGAAGAAUCUGUAGGAGAAGAGAAAUAAGGAGUCAAACUGUGAAACAAAGGCACAAAUUCUUACCCGAGAGUCGAUCUGAGCCAAAACCCAACAAACGAAGCGGUGGAGUUUUAUUGCCGGAGAUAUAUCAGGAGGAGAGAGAUUGAAAUAGAGGUUAUUCAUAAAUCCUACAACAAAGGAUUUUGAAGCCCAUUUUCAAUUAAAAAGAAACCUCAUCCCCAAUUCUUUUUUAAUAAUUUACAAGGCUAAUAUAUUAUAGGUAUAUAUUUUGGUCCCUGAAAUUACUAUUCCAUUUAGUCCGAAACCCAGUAAUCCAAAA